This 511-nucleotide RNase P RNA is filed under the name Spirosoma rhododendri. Its description in RNAcentral is "Bacterial RNase P class A". It matches the Rfam family "Bacterial RNase P class A". Rfam says of the family: Ribonuclease P (RNase P) is a ubiquitous endoribonuclease, found in archaea, bacteria and eukarya as well as chloroplasts and mitochondria. The record is from Rfam by way of RNAcentral. Lineage: Bacteria; Pseudomonadati; Bacteroidota; Cytophagia; Cytophagales; Cytophagaceae.
GAUGCGGGUCGUCUUAUCGCGCCGACCUUCGGGUGGGUGAGGAAAGUCCGGGCAGCGCAGAGCACCCUACUUCCUAACGGGAAGGCAGUCCACUGGCGACGGUGUACUGACAGACAGGGCAACAGAAAAUAUACCGCCAGAUUUUAAAGAGCGAAAGAAUGAAAGAGUGAAAGAGCGAAUUGCUGCCGCACCUGAUGAUGGUUCCUGGCCAGUAAUUCGCUCUUUUACUCUUUCGCUCUUUCACUCUUUAAGCCUGGUAAGGGCGAACCGGUGGGGUAAGAGCCCACCGCCCGGCGGGCGACCGACGGGGCACGGUAACCCUUAGGGGCUGAAAGACCAAAUAAGCGUCGGACGCGCGGCUGCUCGUCGCCAGCAGCCCGGUUUCGGCCGGGUGAAAACCGACGCGGGUAGGUCGAACGAGGUGUCCGGGUGACCGGCAUCCCAGAUAAAUGAUAAGACGGCUGGCUUCACGGCUGGUCGACAGAACCCGGCUUAUAGGCCCGUAUCGUAU